UACGGAGGGUGCGAGCGUUGUCCGGAAUCAUUGGGCGUAAAGGGCGCGUAGGUGGCACGAUCAGCGUGCGGUGAAAGCUCGGGGCUCAACCCCGGGUCGGCCGUGCGAACUAUCGAGCUGGAGCACUGUAGAGGCAGGCGGAAUUCCGGGUGUAGCGGUGGAAUGCGUAGAGAUCCGGAAGAACACCGGUGGCGAAGGCGGCCGUGCUGGGCAGUUGGCUGACACUGAGGCGCGACGAGCGUGGGAGCAACAGGAUUGAGAACCCAGAGGUAGUCCA
Molecule: ribosomal RNA, 277 nt
Filed under: uncultured bacterium
Lineage: Bacteria
Description: partial 16S ribosomal RNA
Rfam family: Bacterial small subunit ribosomal RNA
Source: RNAcentral